UGUUGGAAAACGCUAUCGUAGACUGUUUAGGAAAAGCUACAUCCUGCUGCUUCUGGAUCAGUUGCUGCGGCUGAUGCACCUUCUGUGGCUGCUGCUGCUGCAUCUGCAGUGGCUGAGUUUGAUUUGUCAGCAGAUCCGGUCUCACUAGGUUAGGACCAAACCCAUUACGAGCUGAACCAAGACCUGCAUCACUUCCAAAUCCAAAGAACCUAUCAUUGAAGUGAUCCACACUCUCCACCUGUUGUUGAGGCUCUUCCCUAACCACACCAGCUCUCGCCAAGAACUCCUCCAGAGUCAUCUCCCCCAACGUCUGUUGCCUCUGCGGAACUCCACUCGCUCCUCCACCACCACUUCCAGCGUCAUCGUCCUUCAUCAGCUCCUUCCAGACAUCAUCAACUCUUUUCUGACUAAUGGUACGAGGUAAAGUAAUUGACCCUUGUCUCUGCAAACCACCACCAACACCAAUCUCUCCUCCCACACCAAUAGACAAACCUCCAUUAAAAGUGUUGUUGAAACUGGUGUUGUUGGCCAUUAUAGAGUGGCUUUCCUCAGCGGUCCAUAUGUUCUUCAAGAGCUCGUCCAUGUUCAUGGACCCAAAGUCCUUCCCAACCCCACCACCCCAUGAGUUCUGGAACUCAUCAAAGGUUAACGAGAACACAGAGUUCUGUCUCGUCAGAGGAACACCAGUCCCCAAAGCUGGCUGCUUUGCGUCGUCAACGAAGUUGAAUCGAGAACCCAUCUCUUAAAAAUCCAAGCUUUGAAUCCUUCAAGUAAAACAAACAAAUAAAAAUCAGAUCUUUAAUCAAAUUCGAAACAGAGCAAAGAGUGAAAACAGAGGAUCUGAAACAAUUCUCCAAAACGACCAAUCAUAAGCUUAUAUUGGGCGGGAAAAUUCAUUAUUCUGAUCCAAUCAACGAAUCUGAAACAAGAAACCAAUCAGUGAUGGGAGUUUUUAUUUUUUCCUUACCUUCAAAUUUUUAUUUUUUAUUUUUCUCGAUAUUUCCUUUUUGAGAAAAGAAAAAAAAAGAUCUGAUAAAUAUAGAGAGGGAGGGAGCGACAUGUGUCCGAGGCGUGACACUCGUCGCGAUAUAAAGAGGGGUUUCUACUGUUUGGACGCGGGGAUUAUUUUAUUCCCGAUAAGGUAUUAAAAACACUUUGACGUCAGAUCGUGCGUGAGCGAAAGAGAUUGGACAACGUGGUCCAAUGACAAACGCUGCUUUUUUUCUGCGUUUACGAUUCCAACGAAUAGUAGUUCGCAAAGUGGAAGGACGCUGGCCGUUAGAUUUUCUAAUCGCCGUCGUCGGCAACGAGAUGAAUAUUUUUUAUUUGUUUUUUGAAUUAUGCAACGAGAUGAAUAUUGUUUUUUUUUUUUGGUGCAAAUGAAUAUUGUUUUUUUUUCUUUAUAAAAACGAAUACUGUAUUUUGCCAGGCAAAUAUAUAUUCAUUCCGUUCUCCAAAGUAAGUAUAUUUUUAAUCUUUUUUCUUCUAAAGCAAAAAUAGUUUUUUUUAUAUUUUAAAAUACGUUUAUAUGUUUUUGAAAAAUAUCAAUUGAUAAAAUUUAAAUUAGUUGAAUAUCAUAGGUUGAUGGUUAUUAAAAAAAUAUGUAGUAGUGAAUUCAUUUGUAAAUAUUCAUUAUAUUUUUAAUAUCCGUGGAUGUUUUUAAAUUUAUUUUUACGGGAAAGGAUGGAAUAUAUAUAGUUUAAUGCUAUUCGAUAAAAAAUUUGUGAAUACUCGUAAUUCUAAAUAUAGUCAUUGAUUUGGUAUACUACAUUCACAAGAUAUAUAUCUACAGAACCUUUAGUUUCAUCAACGACUGCCCAAUGUAUCCAUGGAAAUCUGAAAGAAAGAAAAACAACAACAACAAAAUACAACGUUAUUAGUUUACAAAAAAAAAAAAUACAACGUUAUUCCUCCAUGUCAGGGAUCGCAUUAUUUUGGCAAAUCAACCCAGGAACCAUCUUAACAUCAUGAUUCACUAAUACUAAACUACAGAGAUGCGUACACACAGUUUAUAAACUACACUAACAAACAGAAAAACAGAGGAUGUUAUAAAAUUUAAAUGAAUAUAAAUUAUCAUACAAUAUGCAGUAUUUUUGUAUACAGAAGUGGAGGAGCCGACGGGUGAUCAGUUCCGGAAUCUUUAUCACGUUUGCUGCUGCACCUACAAGGGAUGGACAUUUGCCACGUAGCGCACUCAGCGACCUCGUAAAGUAUUAAAAUGAAGCAACAAACAUUAUAAUAUCGGUAUUGGUGUCCCAUUACUCACAUAAACCCUUUGUGUUGAUCCUCACAUGUGAUGUGAUCUUCUCUUUAAUUUAUUUUAUCUUUUUUGUUUUCUUUUGUUUAUUGAUGUUUCGUCAUUGUUAUGGACUUAUCAUGGACUCGGUACACAAGACAAGUGACCCUUCGUUUCACCCAUCUUUUAUUUCUAUUGUCAAUCAUAUAUAAUAAUAGUCUUUCUUAAAGAAUCUACUGGAUUAGGAAAGUCUAAUCCGCAUUAAUUAAUAAAAAAUGGAACCGUGAGCUUACAGAAUUCACAUGGACUCGACUCUACUAGUCUUUUGAAGACAUGUUCUUUCCUUUAUUAGAUUUAAUUAAUCAAAGUUACUUCUUUGAGGUCGUGAUGAGAUAACUACACACAUUUUCUAACCAUUCCUUUAGUCACACCUGUGUUGGAGGUUGAGAACGGUUGACCAAAUCAACAGUGUUGGAAAACGCUAUAGUAGACUGUUUAGGAAAAGCUACAUCCUGCUGCUUCUGUAUCAGUUGCUGCGGCUGAUGCACCUUCUGUGGCUGCUGCUGCUGCAUCUGCAGUGGCUGAGUUUGAUUUGUCAGCAGAUCCGGUCUCACUAGGUUAGGACCAAACCCAUUACGAGCUGAACCAAGACCUGCAUCACUUCCAAAUCCAAAGAACCUAUCAUUGAAGUGAUCCACACUCUCCACCUGUUGUUGAGGCUCUUCCCUAACCACACCAGCUCUCGCCAAGAACUCCUC
RNAcentral lists this long non-coding RNA (2994 nucleotides) under Brassica napus (rape). RNAcentral describes it as "long non-coding RNA (BNAP_LNC009166)". The record is from RNAcentral. Lineage: Eukaryota; Viridiplantae; Streptophyta; Magnoliopsida; Brassicales; Brassicaceae.